GUAUGCCCGGCGCUGAUUGGCUACUCGUAAAGAGCCCCGCCCUCUGGGCACGCGCAGGAGGUGGGGCGGGCUCGAGAAGGCCGCGCGGUGCGCGGCCCCGCGGGCUUAGCCUUCGUGACCCGCGUGCUGGCUCUGGCGUCCGGGCUCCCGGGCGUCCGCGAGCAAACAGUCAUUCUCCAAGUUAUUUGUUUUGGAAAUAUUACUUCUUCCUGUAUCAGAUUUACCUUAAGGUAAUUCCAGUUCUCAUGGGCUUCCUCAAGAUGUGGAUGGCAUAAAGGACACAGAUACCAAGAAGAGCUCACCAUCAUGGCUUUCCUCACGAUAGGCUGCCCUGCUUUCUCCAGAUGAGAAGAACCUGGAAUCUAACUCCAGAAGGAGAGAUGAGCAACCCAGAACCUGCUAAUGCUUAAUUGGUGAGCCACCUUUGGAAGCAGGCUACCCAGAAACAGAAGGAGGAUCACCUUGAGUUCGAGGCCAGCCUGGGCUACAUAGUGAGUUCGAGGCCAGCCUGGACUACAUACAUAGCAAGACCCUGUCUCAAAAAGACCAAAUAAAUAAUAAAUGAAUAAAUAAAUGUCUGAAUUGGAAUUCAAAAAGAAAAGAAGAAAAGUAAUUCCGUGUUGUCC
RNAcentral lists this long non-coding RNA (626 nucleotides) under Heterocephalus glaber (naked mole-rat). RNAcentral's name for it is "lncRNA (ENSHGLG00000041271.1)". Lineage: Eukaryota; Metazoa; Chordata; Mammalia; Rodentia; Bathyergidae. The record is from RNAcentral.